ACCACACACACCCAAAAUCACCCCCAGCACUUAUCACAGUGCUAUGUGCAAAGAAGAUUCCGAAGGGUCUGUGCUAUUAAACUGAACAUAGUACAAAGAAUGCUAGAAAUUAAAGUUCAGGUCCUGACUCAGCUUUGUGGUAUGUGACCUCGAAGACAGUUAUUCCGGGCCUCACAGUAGUUUCAUGAGUCUAUGAAUUUCAUCGUUUCACAGCCAAUUUACCAUAUAUAUGGUAAAAUGAAGCUUUUAUAGGCAAUGCAAUUCCCACUGAAAACACCAAAACGCCACCAAUUCCACAUCCACCAAGAUUAUAGUUUUCCUUGGACCACUAG
Molecule: long non-coding RNA, 332 nt
Filed under: Bos taurus (domestic cattle)
Lineage: Eukaryota; Metazoa; Chordata; Mammalia; Artiodactyla; Bovidae
Description: long non-coding RNA NONBTAT014036
Source: RNAcentral